GACGAACGCUGGCGGCGUGCUUAACACAUGCAAGUCGAACGGUAAGGCCCUUCGGGGUACACGAGUGGCGAACGGGUGAGUAACACGUGGGUGAUCUGCCCUGCACUUCGGGAUAAGCCUGGGAAACUGGGUCUAAUACCGGAUAGGACCACUGCCCGCAUGGGUGGUGGUGGAAAGCUUUUGCGGUGUGGGAUGGGCCCGCGGCCUGGCGGCUUGUUGGUGGGGUGAUGGCCUACCAAGGCGACGACGGGUAGCCGGCCUGAGCGGGUGACCGGCCACACUGGGGCUGAGAUACGGCCCAGACUCCUCCGGGAGGCAGCAGUGGGGAAUAUUGCACAAUGGGCGCAAGCCUGAUGCAGCGACGCCGCGUGAGGGAUGACGGCCUUCGGGUUGUAAACCUCUUUCAGCACCGACGAAGCGCAAGUGACGGUAGGUGCAGAAGAAGGACCGGCCAACUACGUGCCAGCAGCCGCCGUAA
RNAcentral lists this ribosomal RNA (478 nucleotides) under uncultured bacterium. Its description in RNAcentral is "partial 16S ribosomal RNA". It matches the Rfam family "Bacterial small subunit ribosomal RNA", at positions 28 to 523 of the family's 1533-position model. The record is from RNAcentral.